Molecule: ribosomal RNA, 726 nt
Filed under: uncultured bacterium
Lineage: Bacteria
Description: bacterial SSU rRNA
Rfam family: Bacterial small subunit ribosomal RNA
Source: RNAcentral
AGCGGCGAACGGGUGAGUAACACGUAGGUGAUCUGCCCAUCAGACGGGGACAACGAUUGGAAACGAUCGCUAAUACCGGAUAGGACGAAAGUUUAAAGGUGCUUCUGGCACCGCUGAUGGAUGAGCCUGCGGCGCAUUAGCUAGUUGGUAGGGUAAAGGCCUACCAAGGCGACGAUGCGUAGCCGACCUGAGAGGGUGAACGGCCACACUGGGACUGAGACACGGCCCAGACUCCUACGGGAGGCAGCAGUAGGGAAUCUUCGGCAAUGGGCGAAAGCCUGACCGAGCAACGCCGCGUGAAUGAUGAAGGCCUUCGGGUUGUAAAAUUCUGUUAUAAGGGAAGAACGACUUUAGUUGGAAAUGGCUAGAGUGUGACGGUACCUUAUGAGAAAGCCACGGCUAACUACGUGCCAGCAGCCGCGGUAAUACGUAGGUGGCGAGCGUUAUCCGGAAUUAUUGGGCGUAAAGAGCGCGCAGGUGGUUGAUUAAGUCUGAUGUGAAAGCCCACGGCUUAACCGUGGAGGGUCAUUGGAAACUGGUCGACUUGAGUGCAGAAGAGGGAAGUGGAAUUCCAUGUGUAGCGGUGAAAUGCGUAGAGAUAUGGAGGAACACCAGUGGCGAACGCGGCUUCCUGGUCUGUAACUGACACUGAGGCGCGAAAGCGUGGGGAGCAAACAGGAUUAGAUACCCUGGUAGUCCACGCCGUAAACGAUGAGUGCUAAGUGU